RNAcentral lists this ribosomal RNA (253 nucleotides) under uncultured bacterium. Its description in RNAcentral is "partial 16S ribosomal RNA". It matches the Rfam family "Bacterial small subunit ribosomal RNA", at positions 524 to 776 of the family's 1533-position model. The record is from RNAcentral.
UACGUAGGGUGCAAGCGUUGUCCGAAAUUAUUGGGCGUAAAGGGCUCGUAGGCGGUUUGUCGCGUCGGGAGUGAAAAUCCAGGGCUUAACUCUGGACUGGCUUCCGAUACGGGCAGACUAGAGGUAUGCAGGGGAGAACGGAAUUCCUGGUGCAGCGGUGAAAUGCGCAGAUAUCAGGAGGAACACCGGUGGCGAAGGCGGUUCUCUGGGCAUUACCUGACGCUGAGGAGCGAAAGUGUGGGGAGCGAACAGG